GCCGGAUCCGGCCCGCGGGCCGUAGUUUGGAGACCCCUGUUCUAGAACAUAAUAGGUCAAUGUCUAUGUUGUUCCUCUAUCUAAUGUAGACUUUAAUAGACAAAAAGAAUACAUUGGCUAAACCAAGAUGAAUCUAAGAAACAGAUUGGCUGAGCACAAAAGAGAUUUGAAAUCAGGUGAGCUAAAACCUGAGGCUUACAAGCAUAAUAUGCAUAUAGAAAGAGAUAAGGCAAAAAUCAUACAACCCUAUAAUAUCCCUUGGAAAGAAAUGAUUACAGAAUCAUUACAAAUUCUAAAAAAGGUCUUAUUCAAAAAAUGUUAUCAAAGACCGUCCAAGAGAUAAUGUCUCG
Molecule: long non-coding RNA, 350 nt
Filed under: Androctonus crassicauda
Lineage: Eukaryota; Metazoa; Arthropoda; Arachnida; Scorpiones; Buthidae
Source: RNAcentral